Molecule: non-coding RNA, 350 nt
Organism: Monodelphis domestica (gray short-tailed opossum)
Lineage: Eukaryota; Metazoa; Chordata; Mammalia; Didelphimorphia; Didelphidae
Source: RefSeq, a predicted model, not a curated record
GAUAAGGAAAAUAAGGCAAACAAGGUUAAGUGACUUGACUAGAGUCACAUAACUAAGGUGAGAUUUGAACUCUGAAAGAUGGGACAUCUUGGCACAGGCACAGUACUCCACUGAGCAACAAACCACCCUGUUUCCAGGAACUUAUUGGUGACUCUUCCUUAGAAUAAAGAAAAAUGUUGUGUCAUAAAAAAAAGAAAGUGAACCAAACCACUAUCAUAGAGGAAUGCAAGAAUGGAAGCAUCACUCACAACUGGGAGGAACCAAGGAAUAUUGACAACCAGAUGAUCUCAAGGCAUGAGAGAGGUACAAGAAUUUUGGAAGAUACCCACAGGGACCUGUGAUGCUAAGUG